UCCUUUGCUAAGCAACAUGGGAAGAAUCCACCGGCGUGCCAAAACCAGCCUUGGCGAGAUUCCCGCUCCAGCAUCCUCACAUGCUGCAUCCAUCGCUUGUGUAGGGGCCCCGGCCAUGUACCACCCACCGGGAUGGUGAUGCUGCCCCUCCUCAGCGUCAGGACCCGCUGAUGAGCAGAAGACCCGCUGACCAGCCCAUCUCAAAAAUGCCUUCUACAGCGCCCCCUAGCUCUCUUCUCGUGUUACAGACACAACCUAGUUGCUCUGUUUGUUAUUCAUUAUUAUUAAUUAAAUUAACGAAGUGUAUCGUCAUUAUGAAAUCUCACCUCCCGCCUUCAUGGACCUUUCAUAUUUACGAUCUGUAGUCCAUCUGACAUCCAUUAAUCUCUUUUUGUGUAAAUUUAUGGUCUGUGGUUACUGUGUCCCCGAUAAACGCCUGUAUAGAAUCCA
Molecule: long non-coding RNA, 450 nt
Organism: Brienomyrus brachyistius
Lineage: Eukaryota; Metazoa; Chordata; Actinopteri; Osteoglossiformes; Mormyridae
Exons: 2
Source: RefSeq, a predicted model, not a curated record